This 445-nucleotide ribosomal RNA is filed under the name uncultured bacterium. Its description in RNAcentral is "partial 16S ribosomal RNA". It matches the Rfam family "Bacterial small subunit ribosomal RNA", at positions 354 to 796 of the family's 1533-position model. The record is from RNAcentral.
GUGAGGAAUAUUGGUCAAUAGACGAGAGUCUGAACCAGCCAAGUCGCGUGAAGGAAGACGGUUCUAUGAAUUGUAAACUUCUUUUGUGCAGGAAUAAAGUGGGUUACGUGUAACCUUUUGUAUGUACUGUACGAAUAAGGAUCGGCUAACUCCGUGCCAGCAGCCGCGGUAAUACGGAGGAUCCGAGCGUUAUCCGGAUUUAUUGGGUUUAAAGGGUGCGUAGGUGGAUUGAUAAGUCAGCGGUGAAAGUUUGCAGCUUAACUGUAAAAUUGCCGUUGAAACUGUCGGUCUUGAGUGCAAAUGAGGUAGGCGGAAUGUGUUGUGUAGCGGUGAAAUGCUUAGAUAUAACACAGAACUCCGAUUGCGAAGGCAGCUUACUGGGAUGCAACUGACACUGAUGCACGAAAGCGUGGGUAUCAAACAGGAUUAGAUACCCCGGUAGUCC